Long non-coding RNA from Homo sapiens (human), 959 nucleotides. Ensembl annotates it as long intergenic non-protein coding RNA 626. The record is from Ensembl. NCBI's taxonomy places the organism in Eukaryota, Metazoa, Chordata, Mammalia, Primates, Hominidae.
GAGCCUGAAUAGUUGUCUCACUUUCAUAUUGAGCAAGGACAUGGAAUCUCUGACAAACGAGGAAGACUUGGAACACUUAAGCAAGCAUAACCUCCUGAGAGAAUUUACCAUGAGCAUGUGAUGCUUAGGCUACGGCAGCCAUCUUGGUACCCUGAGAAGAGUCACCCUAAGAGAAGAUGCCAGCAUUCUAGGAAAAGCAGGGCGGGGAUGGAGAAAAAAUCCAGGGCCUGGAUGACAUUGCUGAGCUGCUGAGUUAACCUAGAACUAUCCUAACUCAAGAUUUCUCUUUAUAAGAAUCUCUCUUGCAGGAGUAACACAGGCAUGUGGAGAAUUUCUCAGAGUAUUUCCGCAGCAACCAACUGGCAUGAAGAAUACUUUGCUGAAACAUGGGGUUCAAAAGCAGCCCACAGCUCUCUUUCAGACCUCUGAAGUCACACCCAGUGGUCUAGUCAACAUUUCCUCUUGCAGAGAUUGUAAAGGUUUCAAUCUUAACACCAUGUGACUAAUUCGGUCUCUAUGAUCAAAGCCUUAUAAGAAAGAAUGACUGGUUGACCCGACAUGGACCAAGUGACCGUUCUUGUUCCCAGUGUGUUGUGGGCUAAGAAGAGAUGGGCACAGAAUGAUGGGAACGCAGAGCGAAAGGGCCCAACUCUACCAGGAGGGGAAGAUAAAAACUCCUGAAGAAAUUAUACAAAAAUAGAAUACUUACAACAGAAUUCUCAACAUCAUUUUUCCCUGUUUGAAUCCAGCAAGUCAGCCAUUGGUCACUUAAGAGCACUAACCCCUCCCUGGUUUGAAGAUGUUCUUGACUUUAAAUACAAACAUCUGAUAUUCCAGCUUAGACUCCUCCACAAGAACUAGAGUGUCAUCCUAUUUUGGCUUCCAGCUCAGUCCCUCUGCUACAAGUCUUGACUCCAGAACUCUGUGGGAUAAUAAAAUACAAGAUCAUAGCUUGAAAA